UGAGCUGGGGGUGGCCGCAGAGACCAGCGAGAAGCGACUGUUUACUAAAAACACAGGUCCGUGCGAAGCCGUAAGGCGAUGUAUACGGACUGACGCCUGCCCGGUGCUGGAACGUUAAGGGGACCGGUUAGUCGAGAUUCGUCUCGGCGAAGCUGAGAACUUAAGCGCCAGUAAACGGCGGUGGUAACUAUAACCAUCCUAAGGUAGCGAAAUUCCUUGUCGGGUAAGUUCCGACCUGCACGAAUGGCGUAACGACUUCUCGACUGUCUCAACCAUAGGCCCGGUGAAAUUGCACUACGAGUAAAGAUGCUCGUUUCGCGCAGCAGGACGGAAAGACCCCGGGACCUUUACUACAGUUUGAUAUUGGUGUUCGGUUCGGCUUGUGUAGGAUAGCUGGGAGACUUUGAACUCUGGACGCCAGUUCAGGGGGAGUCGUCGUUGAAAUACCAGUCUGGUCGUGCUGGAUGUCUAACCUGGGUCCGUGAUCCGGAUCAGGGACAGUGUCUGAUGGGUAGUUUAACUGGGGCGGUUGCCUCCUAAAGAGUAACGGAGGCGCCCAAAGGUUCCCUCAGCCUGGUUGGCAAUCAGGUGUUGAGUGUAAGUGCACAAGGGAGCUUGACUGUGAGACCGACGGGUCGAGCAGGGACGAAAGUCGGGACUAGUGAUCCGGCGGUGGCUUGUGGAAGCGCCGUCGCUCAACGGAUAAAAGGUACCCCGGGGAUAACAGGCUGAUCUUCCCCAAGAGUCCAUAUCGACGGGAUGGUUUGGCACCUCGAUGUCGGCUCGUCGCAUCCUGGGGCUGGAGUCGGUCCCAAGGGUUGGGCUGUUCGCCCAUUAAAGCGGUACGCGAGCUGGGUUUAGAACGUCGUGAGACAGUUCGGUCCCUAUCCGCUGUGCGCGUAGGAGUCUUGAGAAGGGCUGUCCCUAGUACGAGAGGACCGGGACGGACGAACCUCUGGUGUGCCAGUUGUUCUGCCAAGGGCAUGGCUGGUUGGCUACGUUCGGGAGGGAUAACCGCUGAAAGCAUCUAAGCGGGAAGCCUGCUUCGAGAUGAGGACUCCCACCCACUUGAUGGGGUAAGGCUCCCAGUAGACGACUGGGUUGAUAGGCCGGAUCUGGAAGCACGGUAACGUGUGGAGGUGACCGGUACUAAUAGGCCGAGGGCUUGUCCUC
Molecule: non-coding RNA, 1173 nt
Filed under: Streptomyces sp. NRRL WC-3605
Lineage: Bacteria; Bacillati; Actinomycetota; Actinomycetes; Kitasatosporales; Streptomycetaceae
Also listed under: 1 other name
Description: Bacterial large subunit ribosomal RNA
Rfam family: Bacterial large subunit ribosomal RNA
Source: Rfam by way of RNAcentral